Molecule: small RNA, 109 nt
Filed under: Ancylostoma duodenale
Lineage: Eukaryota; Metazoa; Nematoda; Chromadorea; Rhabditida; Ancylostomatidae
Description: SL2 RNA
Rfam family: SL2 RNA
About the family: This family represents SL2 RNA.
Source: Rfam by way of RNAcentral
GGUUUUAACCCAGUAUCUCAAGGUACUUAGGGCGUACCACCUACCACCUGUGGUUGUGUCGAAAACCUCAAUUUUUGGACAGUCGUCCCGGGGUGUCCGGGAGGGCAAC